UUUGCUAUUGUUAAGAUCUAAAAUCAUGUUAACUUGUUAAAAGUUGUUCUUAUUUGUAUAGUCACACAGAAGUGGUGUGUUACAAUUUAAUUAGUAUUCUUACUAUACAGCAUAUUAUAUCUAUAUUAAAGAAUAAAUGUAUAUUGAUUAUAUAUUACAUGGUGUGAAAUAAAUGAUCUUGUCUACUAAGACUAAUAAUGUGUCCUUUCUCUAAGUUCAGAUGUAUGUUCUUCGUCGUGUAAUGUACGCACAUUAAUAGCUGAUAAAUAAAUGCCCGGCUAAAAAAACAACCACAAACAAAUGUUGUUAUACAUAUGUAGCAUGUAUGAAACAAUUAUUGAUUUCUACAAUUUGAUGCGGGCAAUAGGUCAAAUUCCUUAGUGUUUGGUUUGUUUACAUUUUACUCACCGAUGACGAUGCAAUUCAUAUAGCAAAUGGAAUUGCACUAAUUACUAGUACAAAUAUAAUAUGUUUGCAACAAACCGUUUAUUUUGGAUGGUAAUUUAGGAUUGCAAGUCUGUUACGGAUAGAGAUAUCCUUUAAUAUUUGUUUUUGUUAUAGUUUCUCCGUUCACGUUUGUAUGUCUGUAUACUACUGUUAAUCAUUCCCACGUGCUAAUUAAUUGUUGUUGAAACUUUAUUUACACUUUAUGAGAUUAGUAAACGUUAAACUCGCAAACGUGACAAAUUUUGGCUGAAAGAGAAUAACAAAUUUGUUUAUCAUCUGCAUAACAACAAAAGUGAGUAGGCACUUCUUUUGUUUAUUUGUUUUAUCAAUAUAUCUUUAAUUAAAUUUCUUAGUGCAUUAAUUGAUUUAUGUCAUUAAUAAAUAAUGGAAAUAGAAACUUUUUAGACAGUGUUAAUUAUUUUUCACAACCAUGAAUCUCAUAUGAAACGCUUGCUUGUGUAACAACUGUUAUUUUAUUAAUUUUCAGUUGAAGCACCAAUAAAAGACAUGAAAGUUAUUAUAAUUAUAGUUAUUAUAGAAGUGUUGCUGUUCUGGGAUGUCAAUUCUGAAAGACAUCGGAGGGGAGUAAGACCAAUCAAGGGCAUUCCAAGAGGAGAAUUAAGAAUUCGAGGAGAAAGCAUUAGGAGACCCGGUGUGCUUGAUGGCUAUCCUAGAAUGUCCAUAACUGGUGAGGUUGGUCAUAAGGGAGUACGUAAUGGUAUAAUUUAUCCGAAAGAAGUAAGACCCCGUACGAGUUACCCAAGAGGUGGUAGAGCUCAUGAGCCUUAUCCUGGGGGAUUUUUUGUUGGAAAUAGGUAUUAUUCAUACACGGACCCACAAACUAGAUCUAGCAUCACAAAUGGAAGAAAUACAAUACCUGGUGAACGGAGGAAGUCAUUUAAUAGGAGAUGGUAACACUGCUACUUCCGCUAGUGAUAUUAUGAUAGAUGAUGACAGACUAUCUUCAAAUGUCAUAUCUGUCCAGCAACUGACAUAAUAAACAAUACGUUUGUAAAUACUGUUUAAUGUGACACUUUCAUGGACGAACAAUGCUACAUUUUCAGUGGAAGAUUUCGGUUUGUUAUCUAACCAGAAAGAAAUUGUACUUGACUUUAAUGUGUGUAUAAUCGUUUUUAAAUUCAUCAUAUUAGAUGAAGAUUGGAAAUCAAAGUACUUCGCACUGUUCAAAUAUUUUGUUUUGCUGAACAAUGUAAAAUAAUUCGUCAAAUAAAACUAAAUGAGAUAUUUGUAAAAAAAUCGAUAGAUUGUUUUAUUCGAAACCUUGAAUAUAAACUUCAAUGUUUCAAUAUCUUUAAAAAAAAGAUGCUUGGUCAUGGUAACCUAGUUUAACCGGUACUUUGUAAUUUCUUAAUGUUAUUUUAAAUAUAACCAACUAACUAACUAAUAUCAACUUUUUUCUGUCCAUCAUUUCCCGAUAAUAUUGUGUGCAGACAUAUAUUCCCUAUUCUUUAUCUUAAUUCAAAACUUUAUUUAGAUAUUUUUUUAUUUUUUUUUUCUUCGAAACAUUCUAAACAAAAUCAUCUACAAAAAAACUUGAAUUGAAUACUAGUUAAAAACAAUAUUAUACUUUGUAAUAGAAACUGUUUGGAGUAAUCUCCCAAUAUUAUGAAAUAAUCUUGAAACUGAAGUUUUCUUAUUCUACUACUCUAGAUAAUAAUUAAUGUUCUAACAAAUUUAUUCAUUUUAAUUAUUUAUCUAGUUUCCUUUUUUCUGUAUUAUUCUUUCCAAAUAUGUGCAUUUUUUAUUGCAAGUACCUUAUGUGUGGAAAUGAAUUUUCAUAAGUCACAUUUGACUUGUUUUCCAAUCCACGAAAUAUAUCAGUGUGAUUGUAUAUGCUUACUGUAUAUAUAUUUAUGUUGUAUAAAUAGAAAUAAAAUAUUGUGUGAACUAAAUAUUACCAAUUCUUAAGAAAUAGGUGUCAGUCCACUUUAAUUCUGACUAUAUAUUUUAUAGCAAACCAGUCAUAUUUGAGGCUAAAUUCUGGAUUUCACAACCGCUGUUGAGAAAUAUACUGACUUUAACUUACAAUAUCUUCACAAUCAAAGAUAAUGAGAUCCGAAACAUAUAUGAGCCGUGUCACGACAAAACCAACAUAAUGGGUUUGCGACCAGCAUGGAUCCAGACCAGCCUGCGCGUCCGCGCAGUCUGAUCAGGAUCCAUGCUGUUCGCUUACCAACCCUUUUACAAGUCGAGAAACUGAUAGCGAACAGCAUGGAUCCUGAUCAGACUGCGCGGAUGCGCAGGCUGGUCUGGAUCCAUGCUGGUCGCAAACCCAUUAUGUUGGUUUUGUCGUGACACGGCUCAUAUGUUGCUCGAGGUUGAUGAUAGAUAUCUAAAAUGUAUGAUAUCAAAUUAUCAAUGUUAUCUUUAAAACUUCCUAUCAGAAACUUCAGUGACAAUAGCUUAGAUAUUUGGCAGUAUGAAAGUCUCGCGGCCCUCAAUAAAAGUUAUAUAAAGCAUAUCUCUACUAUUCCAUAAGAUAUUUUUCUCUUACAUGUAUUCUUAAGAAAAUAAAUAAGUUUU
Ruditapes philippinarum (Manila clam) is the source of this 2991-nucleotide long non-coding RNA. RefSeq lists it as uncharacterized. The transcript is spliced from 2 exons. The record is from RefSeq and is a predicted model, not a curated record. NCBI's taxonomy places the organism in Eukaryota, Metazoa, Mollusca, Bivalvia, Venerida, Veneridae.